UACGUAGGGUGCAAGCGUUGUCCGGAAUUAUUGGGCGUAAAGAGCUCGUAGGCGGUUUGUCGCGUCUGCUGUGAAAACGCGAGGCUCAACCUCGCGCCUGCAGUGGGUACGGGCAGACUAGAGUGUGGUAGGGGAGAUUGGAAUUCCUGGUGUAGCGGUGGAAUGCGCAGAUAUCAGGAGGAACACCGGUGGCGAAGGCGGGUCUCUGGGCAGUAACUGACGCUGAGGAGCGAAAGCGUGGGGAGCGAACAGG
RNAcentral lists this ribosomal RNA (253 nucleotides) under uncultured bacterium. RNAcentral describes it as "partial 16S ribosomal RNA". It matches the Rfam family "Bacterial small subunit ribosomal RNA", at positions 524 to 776 of the family's 1533-position model. The record is from RNAcentral.